This 460-nucleotide ribosomal RNA is filed under the name uncultured bacterium. RNAcentral's name for it is "partial 16S ribosomal RNA". It matches the Rfam family "Bacterial small subunit ribosomal RNA", at positions 338 to 795 of the family's 1533-position model. The record is from RNAcentral.
CCUACGGGAGGCAGUAGUGAGGAAUAUUGGUCAAUGGACGCUAGUCUGAACCAGCCAUGCCGCGUGCAGGAUGACGGCUCUAUGAGUUGUAAACUGCUUUUGUACAAGAGUAAACCGCAGUACGUGUAUCGUGUUGUAUGUAUCGUACGAAUAAGGAUCGGCUAACUCCGUGCCAGCAGCCGCGGUAAUACGGAGGAUCCGAGCGUUAUCCGGAUUUAUUGGGUUUAAAGGGUGCGUAGGUGGUUUGGUAAGUUAGUGGUGAAAGUUUGGGGCUCAACCGUGAAAUUGCCGUUAAUACUGUUGGACUAGAGAAUAGUAGAGGUAGGCGGAAUGUGUGGUGUAGCGGUGAAAUGCUUAGAGAUCACACAGAACUCCGAUUGCGAAGGCAGCUCACUAAACUACAUCUGACGUUGAUGCACGAAAGUGUGGGUAGCAAACAGGAUUAGAUACCCUGGUAGUC